RNAcentral lists this long non-coding RNA (894 nucleotides) under Podarcis muralis (Common wall lizard). RNAcentral describes it as "lncRNA (ENSPMRG00000012800.1)". The record is from RNAcentral. Lineage: Eukaryota; Metazoa; Chordata; Lepidosauria; Squamata; Lacertidae.
AUUUAACAGGUGCAAUUUUAUCAAUGAAGAACCAAUCUCCGAGCUUGCUUCCUCCCUCUGCCUCUUUUACCUUUUGUGUCAUUUCAUUUUGGUUGCAAGUCUGAGGACAGGGAUUUUUCUCAUCACUGACAACUGUUGAGAUACUCCAGGAGAUUUUUUUUUUGGGGGGAGGGGGGUCCUGCAAUUUGAAUGCCCCUAUCACUCUAAUAUGUCAACGGAAUGGGACGGAUUGGGGCUCAUUUGUUUUGUUCCCCAUUCAGUUUAAAAAUGAAUGAACAGUGACCUCCGGAGGAUGCUCUUUGCUUUACACCCGUACGGGAGAAUCUCCACGAGGGCAUUGCAACACUCCAUCGGCGUUGCUUUAUUUAAACCACUUACCUUCUUCCGAGAUCUCUGCGUGGUGUUGCAAUGGGUUGGUGUUGCUGCCUCCAGGUGACCUCCCACGCACCUCUAAUCAGAGCUUCUGCUUGGAAAAUCUGUGAGAAUGUUAUUUGCCCCCAAAAUGGAAAGAUGAUGGAACCCCGACAAAAGAAGAAUGUAUACAAAACCUAUGGACUAUGCAGGAAUGGAAAAACUUACCACGUGGUUGGAAUUUUGUUUCGGCAGUUGCUGGAUUUCACAAGAAGAGAGAGAGAGAAUCUGACAAUGUGUUCAAUACAGCCAUACCUUGAAAGUCGAACGGAAUCUGUUCCGGAAGUCUGUUUGACUUCCAAAACAUUCGGAAACCAAGGAAGCUCUUGCAGCCAAUCGGAAGCCACAGAAGCCGCGUCGGACAUUCGGGUUCCAAAGAACGUUCGCAAACCAGGACACUCACUUCUGGGUUUGAGGCAUUCAGGAGCCAAAACAUUCAACUCUCAAGGCGUUUGGGAUCCAAGGUAUGUCUAUAUUCAUUAG